This 25-nucleotide microRNA is filed under the name Ciona intestinalis (vase tunicate). RNAcentral's name for it is "cin-miR-5598-3p". Lineage: Eukaryota; Metazoa; Chordata; Ascidiacea; Phlebobranchia; Cionidae. The record is from miRBase by way of RNAcentral.
UGGGUUCAAGGCUCGUCGCUGCUAC